CAGCCGCCACGGUAAUACGGAGGGAGCUAGCGUUGCUCGGAAUUACUGGGCGUAAAGCGCGCGUAGGCGGUUACUCAAGUCAGAGGUGAAAGCCCGGGGCUCAACCCCGGAACUGCCUUUGAAACUAGGUGACUAGAAUCUUGGAGAGGUCAGUGGAAUUCCGAGUGUAGAGGUGAAAUUCGUAGAUAUUCGGAAGAACACCAGUGGCGAAGGCGACUGACUGGACAAGUAUUGACGCUGAGGUGCGAAAGCGUGGGGAGCAAACAGGAUUAGAUACCCCUGUAGUCCCUGUCUCUUAUAC
This 301-nucleotide ribosomal RNA is filed under the name uncultured bacterium. RNAcentral describes it as "partial 16S ribosomal RNA". It matches the Rfam family "Bacterial small subunit ribosomal RNA", at positions 509 to 807 of the family's 1533-position model. The record is from RNAcentral.